AGUGAGAUAAUAAUUUUGUCAUCACAAAUAUAUCCUUCCAAAAGCCCCAGAAGUUAGACUUAUACAGAAAUAUCCUUCAAAAGUACCUAACGGUCAUCUUCAUUUUCUUUCUUUCCACCAUCACAAAUAAUAUAAGAGAGGUAAAAAAAAAUUAAUUUACCUUAUUCACUAACCAGAAUUAAGUAUUUUAUCUAUGGUUUACUAUAUAUUUCUAACAGGUCUUAACAGUAGAAUUAUAUUUGAAACGUUAUAACUCUUACAAAGAUAUAUAUAUAAAAGUCAAACUUUGUAGAGAUAUAUUUGCUAUUAGAUAAUUUAUAUAGAAUUGUACGCAAUUAAUUCUUUUUUUCUAAUACUUUCUUUCAAAAUCUUACUGUUCUACUUAUGUGCUUAUUCAUUUGCACAAUAAAUUAAAUACUUUUCUCGAAAAAGCAACAUAUAUUUCAAAGGUAAAAAUGUAACGAACUUACCGCCUUACCCGAACUAUAGACUAUUUUGAAUUUGUUACCCAAUUCUUUAACUUAUUUGAAUUGAGUCAGUUAACGGCACUUUGACUUCAAAAUUUGAAUCUGUCGUUUAAUUUUACAUAUUUAAUUAGUAUACUUCAUACAAUUAUUAUAAUUAUAGAUUUAUUAAAAUUAAAAAAAAACUAGCUUGAAUUUUGACAUCAAAGUGCAAUCGACUGACUCAAAUCAUACAAAUUAAAUAGAUUGGACGAUAAAAUUUAAUAUUUGGAAUGUCGGAUAGCAAAUUCAAAAUGGUCCAUAGAUCAAAUAAAAUCUAUAUAUUUUUAAUCACAAUCAGAUUUUCCUUGCGGUAUUUGUCCUAACAGAAUGCAGCAGUUACAUUGCUGAUAUGAUAUUUUCUUGCUGUUCUAAAAUUCACCCAUUCAUCAUAAUUUUUUGGCUAAGUUAUAAAAAAUCUUCUUGUCAAUACUCACUUUGAUACUUUUCCUCUCCGACUUUUAAAAGCCUAUAGUUUACCCUCUUAAAAUUAAAAAAUAUUCAUUUUGGAUUCUUCUGUCAGUGUUCCGUUACGGUUCCGUUUAUAUUUUAUUAUUAUAUAUUUUUUUAUACCCAAAAUACUCUUAGAUCCUACCUUUCAAUCGUGCUGCCUCUCUAUUGGCCAACAUUCUUGGCCGCGCCACCUCGCUCCUUGUCUCCCCCCGCGGCAAGCUUAAGUCCUCCGCCCACGCCCACACCCUCCUCUUCUGCCGUGGCGUAUUGAAGAGGGGGCAAAAGUGGAAUAAGCAGGGGAGCGGGGAGAAGGAGAAGGAGAUGGAGGGGCGAGUGGCAGGUUGUAGGAGGAGCAGGCGGAGGAGGGAGAGGAAAACAGAGUUGAAGGUGGGGUCGAAAAAAUGCGGAGGACGGAGGAGAAGACUGCGAAUGAAAGAGGAUUGGGAAAGAGAGGUAAAAGAAAAGAACAAUUUGGUUAUUUAGACUUACUUUAGUACUAAGAUCUAUCUGACGCUGUUAAAUAAAAUAGAGUUAGAAAAAGAAAACAUAUGGGGAUAUACUUCUGCGUUAUCCGAUAAGACCGUAGAAAAUAUAUUAUAAUCAAUUCAUUAGAAUAUGUGGAACACAAUAGUACAAUAUUACGUACAGAAAUAAAUAUGAUAUUUUUUCAUCGUACUUUUUCACCACACGUAACACAAUUUUUUUGUAAUUUCAAACAAAGUCUUAGUUAUCAUAGUUAGCACCCUAACUAUAUGUGAAUAUUAUUUAAUUUUUUAAAAAAUAAAAUAUAAUUUUUAAAGUU
Molecule: long non-coding RNA, 1758 nt
Filed under: Ananas comosus (pineapple)
Lineage: Eukaryota; Viridiplantae; Streptophyta; Magnoliopsida; Poales; Bromeliaceae
Description: long non-coding RNA (ACOM_LNC027332)
Source: RNAcentral